RNAcentral lists this ribosomal RNA (465 nucleotides) under uncultured Veillonella sp. RNAcentral describes it as "bacterial SSU rRNA". It matches the Rfam family "Bacterial small subunit ribosomal RNA", at positions 338 to 795 of the family's 1533-position model. The record is from RNAcentral. Lineage: Bacteria; Bacillati; Bacillota; Negativicutes; Veillonellales; Veillonellaceae.
CCUACGGGAGGCUUCAGUGGGGAAUCUUCCGCAAUGGACGAAAGUCUGACGGAGCAACGCCGCGUGAGUGAUGACGGCCUUCGGGUUGUAAAGCUCUGUUAAUCGGGACGAAAGGCCUUCUUGCGAAUAGUGAGAAGGAUUGACGGUACCGGAAUAGAAAGCCACGGCUAACUACGUGCCAGCAGCCGCGGUAAUACGUAGGUGGCAAGCGUUGUCCGGAAUUAUUGGGCGUAAAGCGCGCGCAGGCGGAUUGGUCAGUCUGUCUUAAAAGUUCGGGGCUUAACCCCGUGAUGGGAUGGAAACUGCCAAUCUAGAGUAUCGGAGAGGAAAGUGGAAUUCCUAGUGUAGCGGUGAAAUGCGUAGAUAUUAGGAAGAACACCAGUGGCGAAGGCGACUUUCUGGACGAAAACUGACGCUGAGGCGCAAAAGCCAGGGGAGCGAACGGGAUUAGAUACCCGAGUAGUC